RNAcentral lists this ribosomal RNA (747 nucleotides) under uncultured bacterium. RNAcentral's name for it is "bacterial SSU rRNA". It matches the Rfam family "Bacterial small subunit ribosomal RNA", at positions 59 to 819 of the family's 1533-position model. The record is from RNAcentral.
CAGUCGAACGAGCGAGAGAGAGCUUGCUUUCUCAAGCGAGUGGCGAACGGGUGAGUAACGCGUGAGGAACCUGCCUCAAAGAGGGGGACAACAGUUGGAAACGACUGCUAAUACCGCAUAAGCCCACGGCUCGACAUCGAGCAGAGGGAAAAGGAGCAAUCCGCUUUGAGAUGGCCUCGCGUCCGAUUAGCUAGUUGGUGAGGUAACGGCCCACCAAGGCGACGAUCGGUAGCCGGACUGAGAGGUUGAACGGCCACAUUGGGACUGAGACACGGCCCAGACUCCUACGGGAGGCAGCAGUGGGGAAUAUUGCACAAUGGGGGAAACCCUGAUGCAGCGACGCCGCGUGGAGGAAGAAGGUCUUCGGAUUGUAAACUCCUGUUGUUGAGGAAGAUAAUGACGGUACUCAACAAGGAAGUGACGGCUAACUACGUGCCAGCAGCCGCGGUAAAACGUAGGUCACAAGCGUUGUCCGGAAUUACUGGGUGUAAAGGGAGCGCAGGCGGGAGAACAAGUUGGAAGUGAAAUCCAUGGGCUCAACCCAUGAACUGCUUUCAAAACUGUUUUUCUUGAGUAGUGCAGAGGUAGGCGGAAUUCCCGGUGUAGCGGUGGAAUGCGUAGAUAUCGGGAGGAACACCAGUGGCGAAGGCGGCCUACUGGGCACCAACUGACGCUGAGGCUCGAAAGCAUGGGUAGCAAACAGGAUUAGAUACCCUGGUAGUCCAUGCCGUAAACGAUGAUUACUAG